RNAcentral lists this transfer RNA (63 nucleotides) under Odorrana nasuta. RNAcentral's name for it is "tRNA-Cys". It matches the Rfam family "tRNA". From Rfam's summary of the family: Transfer RNA (tRNA) molecules are approximately 80 nucleotides in length. The record is from RNAcentral. Lineage: Eukaryota; Metazoa; Chordata; Amphibia; Anura; Ranidae.
GGCCUUGGGGUGUAACACGUAGGGUUGCAAACCCUAAGACGCAGGUAGUACCUGCCGGGGCUU